AUGCAUGUAGAGUAAGCUGUUUCGCGCAUUGUUACUGUUGGGACUAGGAGGCAUUAGGAGUCGCCAUUGCAGCCAUCCGUGUAUGCCACGGCCAUCGUGUCCACAAAUCUCGUAGGAGGCUGAGCACUCGCCGCCAAUAUGUUUGAACAAGGGCUCGUUUUCCUUGCUCCAUGCAGCUCGAGCAUGGGAGCACAUCAAGAGGAUGGCUUCGCCGUUGGACGGGAAGAUGGUGCGCGUAUCGUAGCUCCUUAAUUUCCGCUAUAGGAAAUUAGUGUCGAGUCGAGCUAGCCACGUCGGAUUGACGAAAGAAGGACUAACUUCAUUUUAUUUGUUUGGAUAAGUUAGUACGAAUUGAAUUGGCAGAAUAAAGUUGUGUUACGUGAAAUAUGGGCUCUGGGUGGUAGGUAGUAUUUGUAGCGAGC
Molecule: long non-coding RNA, 422 nt
Filed under: Oryza brachyantha (malo sina)
Lineage: Eukaryota; Viridiplantae; Streptophyta; Magnoliopsida; Poales; Poaceae
Description: long non-coding RNA (OBRA_LNC003222)
Source: RNAcentral